CAGCCGCCGCGGGAAAACGGAGGGAGCUAGCGUUAUUCGGAAUUACUGGGCUUAAAGCGCGUGUAGGCGGGCCGGCACGUCGGUCGUUGAAAUCCCCCGGCUCAACCGGGGAAGUGGCGCCGAUACGACCGGCCUGGAGGAACGUAGGGGGAGCUGGAACUUCCGGUGGAGCGGUGAAAUGCGUUGAGAUCGGAAGGAACGCCCGUGGCGAAAGCGAGCUCCUGGACGUUUUCUGACGCUGAGACGCGAAAGCCAGGGGAGCGAACGGGAUUAGAUACCCCGGUAGUCCCUGUCUCUUAUU
Molecule: ribosomal RNA, 301 nt
Filed under: uncultured bacterium
Lineage: Bacteria
Description: partial 16S ribosomal RNA
Rfam family: Bacterial small subunit ribosomal RNA
Source: RNAcentral